CCUACGGGUGGCUGCAGUGGGGAAUAUUGGACAAUGGGCGAAAGCCUGAUCCAGCCAUGCCGCGUGUGUGAAGAAGGCCUUCGGGUUGUAAAGCACUUUCAGUGGGGAAGAAAGCCUUGGGGCUAAUACCCUCGAGGAAGGACAUCACCCACAGAAGAAGCACCGGCUAACUCCGUGCCAGCAGCCGCGGUAAUACGGAGGGUGCGAGCGUUAAUCGGAAUUACUGGGCGUAAAGCGCGCGUAGGCGGUCUGAUAAGCCGGUUGUGAAAGCCCCUGGCUCAACCUGGGAACGGCAUCCGGAACUGUCAAGCUAGAGUGUAGGAGAGGAAGGUAGAAUUCCCGGUGUAGCGGUGAAAUGCGUAGAGAUCGGGAGGAAUACCAGUGGCGAAGGCGGCCUUCUGGACUGACACUGACGCUGAGGUGCGAAAGCGUGGGUAGCAAACAGGAUUAGAUACCCUAGUAGUC
RNAcentral lists this ribosomal RNA (465 nucleotides) under Vreelandella stevensii. RNAcentral describes it as "partial 16S ribosomal RNA". It matches the Rfam family "Bacterial small subunit ribosomal RNA", at positions 338 to 795 of the family's 1533-position model. The record is from RNAcentral. Lineage: Bacteria; Pseudomonadati; Pseudomonadota; Gammaproteobacteria; Oceanospirillales; Halomonadaceae.